This 72-nucleotide transfer RNA is filed under the name Camelus bactrianus (Bactrian camel). It matches the Rfam family "tRNA". Rfam says of the family: Transfer RNA (tRNA) molecules are approximately 80 nucleotides in length. Their secondary structure includes four short double-helical elements and three loops (D, anti-codon, and T loops). Further hydrogen bonds mediate the characteristic L-shaped molecular structure. tRNAs have two regions of fundamental functional importance: the anti-codon, which is responsible for specific mRNA codon recognition, and the 3' end, to which the tRNAs corresponding amino acid is attached (by aminoacyl-tRNA synthetases). tRNAs cope with the degeneracy of the genetic code in two manners: having more than one tRNA (with a specific anti-codon) for a particular amino acid; and 'wobble' base-pairing, i.e. permitting non-standard base-pairing at the 3rd anti-codon position. RNAcentral also lists the same sequence under 2 other names. The record is from Rfam by way of RNAcentral. Lineage: Eukaryota; Metazoa; Chordata; Mammalia; Artiodactyla; Camelidae.
GAGGGUAUAGCUCAGUGGUAGAGCACGUGUUUAGCAUGCACGAGGUCCUGGGUUCAAUCUCCAGUGCCUCCA